Molecule: ribosomal RNA, 252 nt
Filed under: uncultured bacterium
Lineage: Bacteria
Description: partial 16S ribosomal RNA
Rfam family: Bacterial small subunit ribosomal RNA
Source: RNAcentral
GCAAGUCGAACGGUAACAGGAAUUAGCUUGCUUUUGCUGACGACCGGCGCACGGGUGCGUAACGCGUAUGCAACCUACCUCAUACUGGAGGAUAGCCCCUGGAAACGGGGAUUAAUACUCCAUAGUAUCACAAUUUCGCAUGUUAUUGUGAUUAAAGUUUUUCGGUAUGAGAUGGGCAUGCGUCCCAUUAGCUUGUUGGUGAGGUAACGGCUCACCAAGGCAACGAUGGGUAGGGGGCCUGAGAGGGUGGUC